AAUCGAAGCAGUGAACUUAAGCCCCAGUAAACGGCGGCCGUAACUAUAACGGUCCUAAGGUAGCGAAAUUCCUUGUCGGGUAAGUUCCGACCCGCACGAAAGGCGUAACGAUUUGGGCACUGUCUCAACAACAGACUCGGUGAAAUUGUAAUUCCGGUGCAGAUUCCGGAUACCUGCGACAGGACGGAAAGACCCCAUGGAGCUUUACUGUAGCUUGACAUUGGGUCUUGGUACUACAUGUACAGGAUAGGUGGGAGGCUUUGAAACCAGGACGCCAGUUUUGGCGGAGCCAUCCUUGGGAUACCACCCUUGUAGUACUGGGACUCUAACCAUAGGCCAUGAAUCUGGUCUUGGGACACUGUCAGGUGGGCAGUUUGACUGGGGCGGUCGCCUCCCAAAAGGUAACGGAGGCGCUCAAAGGUUCUCUCAGUACGGUCGGAAAUCGUACGUAGAGUGUAAAGGCAAAAGAGAGCUUGAUUGCAAGACAUACAGGUCGAGCAAGGAUGAAAAUCGGACUUAGUGAUCCGGUGGUUCUGCGUGGAAGGGCCAUCGCUCAACGGAUAAAAGCUACCCUGGGGAUAACAGGCUUAUCUCCCCCAAGAGUCCACAUCGACGGGGGGGGUUGGCACCUCGAUGUCGGCUCAUCACAUCCUGGGGCUGUAGUAGGUCCCAAGGGUUGGGCUGUUCGCCCAUUAAAGUGGUACGCGAGCUGGGUUCAGAACGUCGUGAGACAGUUCGGUCCCUAUCCGUCGCAGGCGUAGGAAAUUUGAGAAGACCUGUCCUUAGUACGAGAGGACCGGGAUGGACGUACCUCUGGUGUACCAGUUGUCCUGCCAAGGGCAUGGCUGGGUAGCUAUGUACGGAAUGGAUAAGCGCUGAAAGCAUCUAAGCGCGAAGCCAACUUCAAGAUAAGAUUUCCCACCGCAAGGGUAAGACCCCAGAAAGACUAUCUGGUUGAUAGGUCGAAGGUGUAAGUGCAGCAAUGUAUUUAGCUUAUCGAUACUAAUAGGUCGAGGACUUGACCAAU
This 1027-nucleotide ribosomal RNA is filed under the name Clostridioides difficile. Its description in RNAcentral is "bacterial LSU rRNA". It matches the Rfam family "Bacterial large subunit ribosomal RNA", at positions 1897 to 2925 of the family's 2925-position model. Lineage: Bacteria; Bacillati; Bacillota; Clostridia; Peptostreptococcales; Peptostreptococcaceae. The record is from RNAcentral.